GGGAGCUGGGGGGCCUGGGCCCCGGAGCUUGGGUGGGCUUGAGGCUGGGUGGGUGUACCGCAGGAAUUGUUGACGGUGAAGACAGAAAUUUGAAGCGAGCGGGAGUCUUGGCUCCGAACGAAGGAAACUGUUCGUGGAAAGUGCCACGUACAAGGAAGUGCGCAGUCCGAGAUGACAGGAUUCUGAGGAGAUUCUCUAUAUAAGAACCUUACCACUGGGACCCCAACUUUGCUACAAAGAAUGCUACUGUGCACGAUGAAGCCUUUAUGCAGGGAAAUUAUGCAGAUACAGAAAAUAUUCAAUGUGUAUUGAACUUCUGGUGGAAUGGAUACUUGCCACUGGGAAGAUCCCACAUGCUGCGGAGCAACUAAGCCCAUGUGCCACAACUACUGAGCCUGUGCUCUAGAGCCCGCAAGCCACAACUACUGAGCCCACAUGCCACAACUAUUGAAGCCAGAGUGCCUAGAGCCCGUGCUCCACAACAAGAGAAGCCACCACACUGAGAAGCCCGCAAACCGCAAGGAAGAGUAGCCCCCGCUCCUGGCAACUUCAGAAAGCCCACGUGCAGCAAU
Molecule: long non-coding RNA, 572 nt
Organism: Hippopotamus amphibius kiboko
Lineage: Eukaryota; Metazoa; Chordata; Mammalia; Artiodactyla; Hippopotamidae
Exons: 3
Source: RefSeq, a predicted model, not a curated record